GACGAACGCUGGCGGCGUGCUUAACACAUGCAAGUCGAGCGGUAAGGCCCUUUCGGGGGUACACGAGCGGCGAACGGGUGAGUAACACGUGGGUGACCUGCCUUUAGCUCUGGGAUAAGCCUGGGAAACCGGGUCUAAUACCGGAUAUGACUCCGCGGCGCAUGUUGUGGGGUGGAAAGCCUUGUGCGGCUGGAGAUGGGGCCCGCGGCCUAUCAGCUUGUUGGUGGGGUGAUGGCCUACCAAGGCGACGACGGGUAGCCGGCCUGAGAGGGCGACCGGCCACACUGGGACUGAGACACGGCCCAGACUCCUACGGGAGGCAGCAGUGGGGAAUCUUGCGCAAUGGGCGAAAGCCUGACGCAGCGACGCCGCGUGAGGGAUGACGGCCUGG
This 391-nucleotide ribosomal RNA is filed under the name uncultured bacterium. RNAcentral describes it as "bacterial SSU rRNA". It matches the Rfam family "Bacterial small subunit ribosomal RNA", at positions 28 to 419 of the family's 1533-position model. The record is from RNAcentral.